GACGAACGCUGGCGGCGUGCCUAAUACAUGCAAGUCGAACGCACAGUUUAUACCGUAGCUUGCUACACCAUAGACUGUGAGUUGCGAGCGGGUGAGUAACGAGUAGGUAACCUGCCUGGUAGCGGGGGAUGACUAUUGGAAACGAUCGCUAAUAUCGCAUAAUCUUCAUUAUUGCAUGAUAAUUAAUUGAAAGGUGCAAUUGCACCAAUACCAGCUGGCCCUGCGUUGUAUUAGCUAGUAGGUGAGGUAACGGAUUACCUAGGCGACGAUACAUAUCCGACCCGGGAGGGGUAUCGGCCACACCUGGACUUGGACACCGCCCAGACCUCUACGGGAGGCAGCAGUAGGGAAUCUUCGGCAAUGGACGGAAGGCUGACCGGGCAACGCCGCGUGAGGGAAGAAGGUUUUCGGAUCGUAAAGCCCCUUUUUAAGAGAAGAACGGGUGUGAGAGUUGAAAGUGCACACUGUGACGGUAGCUUACCAGAAAGCGACGGCUAACUACGUG
Molecule: ribosomal RNA, 505 nt
Filed under: uncultured bacterium
Lineage: Bacteria
Description: partial 16S ribosomal RNA
Rfam family: Bacterial small subunit ribosomal RNA
Source: RNAcentral